RNAcentral lists this long non-coding RNA (676 nucleotides) under Struthio camelus australis. RNAcentral's name for it is "lncRNA (ENSSCUG00000003562.1)". The record is from RNAcentral. Lineage: Eukaryota; Metazoa; Chordata; Aves; Struthioniformes; Struthionidae.
GAAGCCACAGAGACACUCGCUGGUAUUUGUUCUCCUGACUCUCCGAGGUCGUCUUCCAAAAAAACAGGAGGAAAAUCCUGCUCAGAAACAAAGUCUGCUGGGAAGCUGGACCCAAUGGCAUUCAGAGAAGACCUGAAUACUGGAUCAAAUUGAAUCCUUUCGUUGGCCAUGAACCGUACGUGGGUCAUACAGAACAAGAGGUGGCAGAUGACUGCUGGUCCCAUGAAGUGAUCAGCGGUGGUAUGAGAGUUUGAAAAAGUUGACCUGAAGGGAAGAUAAUCAUCUCAAUCUUUGCUGACUCUCAAGAAACAAUGCCAAUGUUUGCAAGCUGAACUUCAGCCUGCAUUUUCUUCCUGGGAUCUAAAGAUAGUUUACAUCACUUGGCAGUCUUCCUUACUGACCAGCAACAUUUAUUUUUACUGAUUUGCAGUCUGUGGUCAUCUGACCCAUUGACAUCAAAGGAGACAGGUGAUUAACGUUAGACGUGUGGCAGGUCCCUGAAAGCGCAAUCGGAUCAGAAGACAUAUGCAGCGUCUUCUCCUGAACUCAGAUAAGCAGUGACCACAAUAAUCUAUGUACAGAUGUUUGUACCAUGGAUAUUUUCCGGGAUCUGAGGGAUUAUUUCCCUACGCAAAUUAGAGUGGUCAUCUAGAAGUUAAGCCUAGACAAGUAACUU